Molecule: ribosomal RNA, 307 nt
Filed under: uncultured bacterium
Lineage: Bacteria
Description: bacterial SSU rRNA
Rfam family: Bacterial small subunit ribosomal RNA
Source: RNAcentral
GGAUUAGAUACCCUGGUAGUCCUAGCUGUAAACGAUGGAUACUAGACGUAGGAACUGGAUUGACGGUUUCUGUGUCGUAGCUAACGCGUUAGGUACUCCGCCUGGGGACUACGGCCGCAAGGCUGAAACUCAAAGGAAUUGACGGGGACCCGCACAAGCGGUGGAACAUGUGGUUUAAUUCGAUGCAACGCGAAGAACCUUACCUGGACUUGACAUGUUAGUGAAAUCUCUGUGAAAGCAGAGCCUUCUGCGAGCUUGCCCAAAGACACUAUCACAGGUGAUGCAUGGCUGUCGUCAGCUCGUGCCG